UGGGGAAUAUUGCACAAUGGGCGCAAGCCUGAUGCAGCCAUGCCGCGUGUAUGAAGAAGGCCUUCGGGUUGUAAAGUACUUUCAGCGGGGAGGAAGGCGACAAGGUUAAUAACCUUGUCGAUUGAUGUUAGCCGCAGAAGAAGCACCGGCUAACUCCGUGCCAGCAGCCGCGGUCAUACGGAGGGUGCAAGCGUUAAUCGGAAUUACUGGGCGUAAAGCGCACGCAGGCGGUCUGUCAAGUCGGAUGUGAAAUCCCCGGGCUCAACCUGGGAACUGCAUUCGAAACUGGCAGGCUAGAGUCUUGUAGAGGGGGGUAGAAUUCCAGGUGUAGCGGUGAAAUGCGUAGAGAUCUGGAGGAAUACCGGUGGCGAAGGCGGCCCCCUGGACAAAGACUGACGCUCAGGUGCGAAAGCGUGGGGAGCAAACA
Molecule: ribosomal RNA, 427 nt
Filed under: uncultured bacterium
Lineage: Bacteria
Description: partial 16S ribosomal RNA
Rfam family: Bacterial small subunit ribosomal RNA
Source: RNAcentral